GAGAAGCAAUACCGUGAGGUGGAGCAAAACUCAAAAAAUGAUCUCAGUUCGGACUGUAGGCUGCAACUCGCCUACACGAAGUUGAAAUUGCUAGUAAUCGUGGAUCAGCAUGCCACGGUGAAUACGUUCCCGGGUCUUGUACACACCGCCCGUCACACCAUGGGAGCUGGUAACACCCGAAGUCAGUAGUCUAACCGCAAGGAGGACGCUGCCGAAGGUGGGAUUAGCGACUGGGGUGAAGUCGUAACAAGGUACC
RNAcentral lists this ribosomal RNA (256 nucleotides) under uncultured bacterium. Its description in RNAcentral is "partial 16S ribosomal RNA". It matches the Rfam family "Bacterial small subunit ribosomal RNA", at positions 1244 to 1500 of the family's 1533-position model. The record is from RNAcentral.